Non-coding RNA from Cinara cedri, 215 nucleotides. Lineage: Eukaryota; Metazoa; Arthropoda; Insecta; Hemiptera; Aphididae. The record is from the annotation of a GenBank genome assembly.
AGAUAAUUAAACUAAAAAAUUUAAAAAAAAAAAAAAAAUCGAAAUAUUCCCUAAAAUGUCACGUUGACGUUUCUAUUGGGUCGGGACCAGUCUUGUUGAAACCAAUUUGCAAGUGUAUUCUGAGUGCGCGUUAACGAAUUACUCGCAUUCGAAUCAAUACAGUACUUAAAUAAAAAUAAAAAAAAAUAAUAAUAAUAGAAAAAAAAAAACACUCG